UUGGACGCUGGCGGCAUGCCUUACACAUGCAAGUCGAACGGCAGCACGGGGGCAACCCUGGUGGCGAGUGGCGAACGGGUGAGUAAUACAUCGGAAUGUACCCAGUAGUGGGGGAUAACUAGUCGAAAGAUUAGCUAAUACCGCAUACGCACUAUGGUGGAAAGCGGGGGAUCGCAAGACCUCGCGCUAUUGGAGCAGCCGAUGUCCGAUUAGGUAGUUGGUGGGGUAAAAGCCUACCAAGCCCGCGAUCGGUAACUGGUCUGAGAGGACGACCAGUCACACUGGGACUGAGACACGGCCCAGACUCCUACGGGAGGCAGCAGUGGGGAAUUUUGGACAAUGGGCGAAAGCCUGAUCCAGCCAUGCCGCGUGCAGGAUGAAGGCCUUCGGGUUGUAAACUGCUUUUGUACGGAACGAAAAAGUCUUCUCUAAUACAGGGGGCGAAUGACGGUACCGUAAGAAUAAGCACCGGCUAACUACGU
Molecule: ribosomal RNA, 482 nt
Filed under: uncultured bacterium
Lineage: Bacteria
Description: bacterial SSU rRNA
Rfam family: Bacterial small subunit ribosomal RNA
Source: RNAcentral